AUAACUUACCCUUAGGACUGGGAUAACUCUGGGAAACUGGGGAUAAUACCGGAUAUUAGGCUAUGCCUGGAAUGGUUUGCCUUUGAAACGUUCUUUUCGCCUAAGGAUAGAUCUGCGGCUGAUUAGGUCGUUGGUGGGGUAAUGGCCCACCAAGCCUAUGAUCGGUACGGGUUGUGAGAACAAGAGCCCGGAGAUGGAACCUGAGACAAGGUUCCAGACCCUACGGGGUGCAGCAGGCGCGAAACCUCACAAUGUACGAAAGUGCGAUGGGGGAAUCCCAAGUGUUAUUCUUAACAGAAUAGCUUUUCAUUAGUGUAAAAAGCUUUUAGAAUAAGAGCUGGGCAAGACCGGUGCCAGCCGCCGCGGUAACACCGGCAGCUCGAGUGGUAGCUGUUUUUAUUGGGCCUAAAGCGUUCGUAGCCGGUUUGAUUAGUCUUUGGUGAAAGCUUGUAGCUUAACUUUAAGAAUUGCUGGAGAUACUAUCAGACUUGAAGUCGGGAGAGGUUAGAGGUACUACCGGGGUAGGGGUGAAAUCCUAUAAUCCUGGGAGGACCACCUGUGGCGAAAGCGUCUAACUAGAACGAUCUUGACGGUGAGUAACGAAAGCCAGGGGCGCGAACCGGAUUAGAUACCCGGGUAGUCCUGGCCGUAAACGAUGUGGACUUGGUGUUGGAAUGGCUUCGAGUUGUUCCAGUGCCGAAGGGAAGCUGUUAAGUCCACCGCCUGGGAAGUACGGUCGCAAGACUGAAACUUAA
This 755-nucleotide ribosomal RNA is filed under the name uncultured archaeon. Its description in RNAcentral is "bacterial SSU rRNA". It matches the Rfam family "Archaeal small subunit ribosomal RNA", at positions 104 to 859 of the family's 1478-position model. The record is from RNAcentral.